RNAcentral lists this long non-coding RNA (549 nucleotides) under Homo sapiens (human). Its description in RNAcentral is "HSALNT0198733". Lineage: Eukaryota; Metazoa; Chordata; Mammalia; Primates; Hominidae. The record is from RNAcentral.
AGAAAACUGCCAAGAGGUAGGAAAGACCUCACCUGAGCUAUUAACUGAAAGGGAUCCAGGGGGGAGAUCCCAAAAAGAAGAAAUGCAAUAGGAACUCAUGAAUAACUGAAGGAAGACUAGAGCUAAAGAAUAAAAGAUUCCAAAGUCAAAACUACCUGCCCUGAAAACUAUCUGAAAUUCAUGAGAAGAAAUAAAUUUCCAGAAAAAUGAGUUGUUUUAGAAAGACUAAAAUAAGGGAAGAAUAUGCUGGAAAUGUCUAGAAGCAAUUCGAGAUCACGUGCAGCUGCAAGUGAUAGCGACUGACCUAGAGUCGAGGAAGGAGCAGGGCACCGAAGCCCAUCAGUGGUGAGGCAGCAGGUGCGGCCCGGCCCAUGCCCCUGCACCUCAGUAAUCCCUGCGGCAGCCACACGGCAGCCUGGUGAGGAUGGAGAGGACAUCUGGGCCCCACCACAGAGGGUGUGGACUUUGGAUUGGGUGACAUCAAGGUUCACAUCCGAGUUUUCUGACUUGAAUGCUUAAAACAAGGUGCUUCUUGAUACUGUGCCUCAG